Molecule: long non-coding RNA, 536 nt
Organism: Xenopus tropicalis (tropical clawed frog)
Lineage: Eukaryota; Metazoa; Chordata; Amphibia; Anura; Pipidae
Exons: 5
Source: RefSeq, a predicted model, not a curated record
AUGUUCCUUAGGGAGAAGAUGAUGAAAUGUGGAUGUGUGCAUAUAUGGGGUACAAGCUGAGCACAGAGAGCUGUCAGAGUAACAUUUUAGCCCAAGCGCAGUGUAAAAAGCAACUCAGACACAGGGGGAAGAUAGAAUCUCCUAGAGCUCCAUGAGGCGUGAGAACCUUGCUUCUGGGGCAGCAAACAGUCACCAUUGUUGAGGUGGGGCCAUGGCCAGAAGUUGGACCUUCAUGGAGAGGCUCGGUCAAAGGUUGAACCUUCGAGAGGACUGACAAGCACUGCCCUAAGACUCCAGAUCUGAUCUGCAACAAAGUGAUGGAGUGGUGCAGCCAAGAGAAUGGCAGCUGAGACCCUUUCUAGUGAAGGCCACAGGCUUGUCACUGGCACCCCACUAAGAUUUGUGUGCAAGAAGGUAACCAAAUGCCCCUGCAAUGGAUUCCAUGCCCACAGAAUUAACCCUCUGUACACAUAGUAAAUCAUAUCCUCAUAUUUAACAAUCAAUCAAUAAAUAAAAGCUAUGUGUUAAUACUAAAC